This is a long non-coding RNA of Chelonia mydas (Green sea turtle), 861 nucleotides long. RefSeq lists it as uncharacterized. Lineage: Eukaryota; Metazoa; Chordata; Testudines; Cheloniidae. The transcript is spliced from 2 exons. The record is from RefSeq and is a predicted model, not a curated record.
CUCGCAAAGCGGUCUCACACCAUUUCCUGCCCAGUUCCUUAUCCGCUGGGCGGCUUGGCUGUGCCCCACUGGCGAGGGUGGAAAUCUGUGUUAGGCGAUGCCUCGUUUCCACCGUCCAAGCCCUGAAAAAGAGGUUUACCAGCGACACCAUGGCACGGUUCGGAGCCCAGGUGGGUGCCUCCCUUUCCAAAGAUAUGUAUACAGAGACAGGACAUGACAGAAGCUGAGUGGGACAAUCAGCAGAAGAACUGCCUUCAUUCCCUAAUCUACCACACAGGGAGAAGAGAAACCAAAGUGUAAUUGAUACAAGGUCUCCAAUCUUCUAAACUCACUAGGACCUUCAGAGGAAUCCCAGGGUGCGUUGAAAUACCUCUGAAGCAUACCUUGGGCGUCCCCCAAAAGUCCUACUGAGGUGUUCAGAUGACAGGAGGCCGUAGGCAAUGCUCUUCUGUUGAAGAGGCCAGCAAUCAGACAGGUGUGAGCACAGAAUGGGGAAGGCACAGCAGGCUCCAAGCUCAUUUAGUGGUAUUGCUCUCAGAUCCAACCCCUUUCCCUGUAUGAAAAAUCCUUCUAACAGCUGCAGUAACAGAAAAGCUCAGGUUUUUUUUUUUAUAAAUGUAUUUUUAAAAGUCAGGAUUUUAAAGAUGUUCUAGAAAUUUGAUUUUUAAGUAAUUUUUUUUUAAAUUGUCCUUUUAACCAUUGAAGCUAGAUUGUCAAAUUAAAAAAAAAACAAGCACUACUACUCAAGAAAGCAGCCUAGAUAUGAAAUACUGUAUCCAAAUUCUGUUUGGAAAGCUUAGACUUUUUUUUGUUUAUAGUUUUUGCCUAUAUUAGUUUAUUUAAAUAAAUAUUAGUUUAUGA